Long non-coding RNA from Amphibalanus amphitrite, 569 nucleotides. RefSeq lists it as uncharacterized. The record is from RefSeq and is a predicted model, not a curated record. NCBI's taxonomy places the organism in Eukaryota, Metazoa, Arthropoda, Thecostraca, Balanomorpha, Balanidae. The transcript has 5 exons.
GAAGUACAUUUGCAGCGUUGACAAACAAAUAACGGACUUCCGCCAGCUGGGUUUUGCACAGACCGCAACAUGAGAUCGGAUCGGUAUAAGCUGAGGCAUCAUCGGACCUGGCGAUCGGAACACAUCGCAGCACGGUACGGACUGGCAGAGAGGUAGGGCACCUGCUGACGCCGCUUCAUCAAGGUAUAUAGGUGAACUGUUUCUCCUGCCGAUCUCCGAAAACAAGAUGGCGACUGUGUUCAGUCAGCCGCUGACCCUGCUGGCGCUCGGGGGCAGCAUCCAAUGGGCGCUGACCCAAGACGACACGACACCCAAAGAUAAAUCUGCGUGCUGUGAAUUUUACGGAAUCAACUCCAAGAAGUACCAAAAAUGCUGUAAAAAUGAGGGAACAUGCGACUAUACCUGUCCACCAAAAUUAUCCGAUAAAGAAGAUCCCUUCGCGUGCUGUCUCUUCUAUCAAAACAACAAGGACGUGUUCCGAAAAUGCUGCGAAGAGCGCGGCACAUGUAGCUUCUUCUGCCCGAUCAAAUUUCCCCACGGACAAGGAUGCCUUGUCAAAGGUAAAUGGU